UUAACAGAUAGCUCUAACGGAUGCUAAAUGGAUGACAGGUCCAUGACGUCACAUCCGGCUUUAGUGACCAUUUGGCGACUUGAAGACAAAUGCUCGCUUAAAAGCUUUUUAAGAUGUUUAUCCCAAACUCUUAUAGAUAAUCACUGCAAAGGCAACCUUCAGUAGAAACUGUCAUCUAGUCUUUCAAGAAAGCAUGAUUGAGACUGUUGAAAGCUUUGCACGACACGGAAGAGUAAAAGCGGUGUAAUGCCUGGCAGGAUUUUAAUGUCAAGAUCAGCAAAAUAUAGAAAAACAGAACGAAAAAGGAAAUGGAAAGGAAGGGAAGUGGAACAACUGGAACGUAAUUAUAACACGCAUGGUUAAAGAUUUCCUGUUUGCAGCUGGGAUGUAUCCGUUUUUUUUAAAAUUUAUUUAAUUUUUUUUGUUGAACGAUUAUAAUAAACUCAAACUUGAUUGCUUUUGUGCGA
This is a long non-coding RNA of Argiope bruennichi, 467 nucleotides long. RefSeq lists it as uncharacterized. Lineage: Eukaryota; Metazoa; Arthropoda; Arachnida; Araneae; Araneidae. The record is from RefSeq and is a predicted model, not a curated record. The transcript is spliced from 2 exons.